Vigna unguiculata (cowpea) is the source of this 1152-nucleotide long non-coding RNA. Lineage: Eukaryota; Viridiplantae; Streptophyta; Magnoliopsida; Fabales; Fabaceae. The record is from RefSeq and is a predicted model, not a curated record.
CACACGAAAAAAAAUUUUCACCCACAACUCACCCCACUCUCUGCACCUCAUCACACUUCGCAACAACAUCCAAAUUGACCUCCUUUGAGCCACCAAAAUCCAACGGAUCGAGAGAGCGUCACAUCCAAGGAUCCUCGCCCAGACUCGUGUGGAGACACCUAGAAUGGCAGCAGCGAGAAUGGCGAGGUUGCAGAGGAAGGAGAGGAAUCAGAUGGUCUGAGAGGCGUCUGGCUCGUCGAGGAAUAGUUCCUCAGGCACGAGGAAAGCACUAUGGAGGCAAUCAACCACGAUGCCGUGCAUAAGAGCGGAGACGAAUGUGGAGCUGACGCCAGUGAUGAACACGAUGAAGACGAGUAUUUUGCUGGAGAGAAAGAAAGUGUUUUGCAAGUAAGUUCAUGUUUUGCAAAAGGUGCAAUGGUGCUUAUCAUUGUUCGGUCUGCAACCUCCUCAUAAGGCUGCUGAAAUUCAUGACUUACCUGGACUUCCAGCUGGAGUAAAAUUUGAUCCUACUGAUCAAGAGAUUCUUGAGCAUUUGGAAGCUAAAGUGCGUUUUGAUAUUCACAAGCUUCAUCUGUUAAUUGUUGAGUUCAUUCCUACUCUUGAAGGGAAGGAUGGAAUCUGCAGCACCCAUCCAGAGAAGUUACCAGGUUGAAGACAAUCUUCCAAAAGAAUAAUAGAAAUGGAGGGUUGCAUCGAAGAAAGUCGUAACGAAAGAAGAAUGGAAGAAAAAGAAAGGAUGAAUAAAUCGGUAUUUGGGUGAAGCAAAUUUUGGAGCUUGGACAUUAAUAUUCAGUUUAAGAGAGUUGUCACAUCAUUUCUACGUCAUUUCCACGUCAUCUAAGUGAAUGGGCCAACAUUUGAGGCCCAAUAGUGGCAUUUUUGUAAUUCUGAGUGACAGAAUGACAUUUUUGUAAAUAAUGGUGGCAGAGUUAUUUUGACCACGAGAAUUAGGUCUCUUGGCAUGCAACAACCACAGCUUAUUCUCCAACCUCCAUUUUUACUCUCUCAAGCUUUGGUGGGUGUCCAUAGAGGUGUUCUUCUCAUUUUUUAUGUUUUUGCACUAGUUUUUGCCAUUUCUAUUCACAUUUGAUAGCACCCAAUGUGGGAUUUACGUUUUGAAUGCAUUUAGAAGAUUGGGCAUCUCAUUUUGUG